GCCGCCUUGGUGCAUGGUAGACACCUCCCUCGUAGUGCGGAGAACGACGCGGUUCGAUUCCGCGAGGUGGCA
RNAcentral lists this transfer RNA (72 nucleotides) under Caudoviricetes sp. Its description in RNAcentral is "tRNA-Thr". Lineage: Duplodnaviria; Heunggongvirae; Uroviricota; Caudoviricetes. The record is from RNAcentral.